GGGGUCUAUAGGGGAUUUAUGGGGGGUCUAUAGGGGAUCUAUAGGCCAGGGGAUCUGGGCAAUAUCCGGAGUGGUUUCUGGGGAUAUCCGAAACCUAUGGCCGCUAUAGGGGACUGGGGGGGGGGGGUUGGGGGGGUUAUGGGGGGGUUGGGGGGGGGGGGGGGGUCUGGGGGGUCUAUAGGGGAUUUUUGGGGUCUGUAGGGGAUUUUUGGGGGGAUUUGGGCCCUAUAUGGGACCUAUGGAGGGUUGGAGGGAUCUGUAGGGGAUUUUGGGGAGGAUUUUAGGUAUUUGGGCCCUAUAUGAGGUCUGUAGGGGAUUUUUGGGAUUUGGGAGGGGGGUUGGGCCCUAUAUGGGACCUAUGGGGGCAUUUUUGGGGUCUAUAGGGGAUUUUUGAGGGGGUUUGGGCCCUAUAUGGGACCUAUGGGGGGUUCAGGGGUCUAUAGGGGAUUUUUGGGGGUUAUUUGGGCCCUAUAUGGGACUUAUGGGGGGGUUCAAGGGGUCUGUAGGGGAUUUUUGGGGUCUAUAGGGGAUUUUUGGGAGGGAUUUGGGCCCUAUAUGGGACCUGUGGGGUCUGUAGGGGAUUUGGGGGGGAAUUUUUCGUUCCAUAGGGGAUUUUUGGGUGGGGUGGGCCCUAUAUGGCAGCUAUAGGGGAUUUUGGUGGGGGGAGGGGGGAUUUUGCGGUCUAUGGGGGAUUUUGGGGGGGGGGAUUUUCGGUCUAUAGGGGAUUUUUGGGUGGAUUGGGACCUCUAUGGGACCUAUGGGGGCAUUUUUGGGGUCUGUAGGGGACUUUGAGGGGAGUUGGGCCCUAUAUGGGACCUAUGGGGGGGUCUGUAGGGGAUUUGGGGCUCUGCAUGGGACCUAUGGGGUCUAUAGGGGAUUUGGGCCCUAUAUGGGACCUAUGGGGUCUAUAGGGGAUUUUGGGGUCUGUAGGUGCUGCCCAGCCCGACCCAGGGCUCUUUGGGGGGAUCUAUGGGGGAUCCAUAGGGGAUUCCCGGGGGAAUCCAUGGGGGAUCCAUAUGGGGGAUCCAUAUGGGGGAUCCAUAGGGGAUUCCCGGGGGAUAUAGGGGGGAUCUGUCAGGGAUCCGUAGGGGAUUCUAUGGGGGAUCCAUGGGUGAUCCAUGGGGGAU
Molecule: long non-coding RNA, 1127 nt
Filed under: Chloebia gouldiae (Gouldian finch)
Lineage: Eukaryota; Metazoa; Chordata; Aves; Passeriformes; Passeridae
Description: Erythrura gouldiae (Gouldian finch) lncRNA (ENSEGOG00005017468.1)
Source: RNAcentral